Long non-coding RNA from Brassica rapa (field mustard), 935 nucleotides. RefSeq lists it as uncharacterized. The record is from RefSeq and is a predicted model, not a curated record. Lineage: Eukaryota; Viridiplantae; Streptophyta; Magnoliopsida; Brassicales; Brassicaceae.
UAUACUAAAGCACAAGUCACCUAACAAAUAAAAAUCUGACACAUGGCAUUGGUUUAAAAAAAAUUAAAAUGCUGACAAAAAAUCAUGUUAGAUCCUAAAAUUUCUAAAAUUCCAAAUAACUAAAUCCCUAAAAUAUCUCACAUAAUCACUUCACGUUCUUGACAAAAAAAAAAAAAAAAGACUUUCACGUUCUAAAAUUACAGUUACAAUUUAAAACUGUUUUCUUUUUAAAUAAGUUUGACUAAAAAACUUUACUCUCUACUAAUCUCCUUCUCUCUCUCCUUCCUCUUUUCCAUUGUUUCAUAUUCUUCCUUUUUACGAUUACUGAGUCUUUGACUGAAGCAAAAACAACAUAGGACAUAAGGUUUAUAAUUACUUUGACCGAGUAUACUCAUGUUUCAAAGCUUAAUUCUUUUUUAAACUUCAAAGCUUUUUUUUUUUGGCAGCAUAAAUUUCAAAGCUUAAUUCUCCAAUAAAUGAGUGACAAAUCGAAGCUUUGUCAACAACAAAGGGAAGGAGAGUAAGAGGCUCAUCUUAGAUCACACUUUCAUGGCCCCUAGGAAACUUGAGAAGUACCACAAGAAGAAAAGAAGAAAGGAAAAAUGUUGUGAUAAUUAGAAAUCAACAAAUAGGGCAUAAGAUAGUCGGGUAAGUAUUCUAUAUUUUUUGUGUUUGUGUGUUUAUAAUCUUAUAAAAUAUAUCUUAUUUUCUUUACUUUUGAUUCAACAUACACUUCUGAUUUUUUUUUCUUAUAUAGUAUUAUUGAAUUUGUAGAUUCCCUCAUAAAAAGAAAUACCAAAGCAAAAAACAUCGUUGAAUAAAAACAAAUACAAAAAAGAAUAUAACCAAAAAAGUAUAUGUGAGUGAGAGAAUAAGAAAAUGACUAUAAAAUAUAAUAACCUCAAUUAUCUUCAAAACUAAGUUGACAUUUAAUU